GACGAACGCUGGCGGCGUGCUUAACACAUGCAAGUCGAACGGUAAGGCCCUUCGGGGUACACGAGUGGCGAACGGGUGAGUAACACGUGGGUGAUCUGCCCUGCACUUCGGGAUAAGCCUGGGAAACUGGGUCUAAUACCGGAUAGGACUCCUGGCUUCAUGGUUGGGGGUGGAAAGCUUUUGCGGUGUGGGAUGGGCCCGCGGCCUAUCAGCUUGUUGGUGGGGUAAUGGCCUACAAGGGCGACGACGGGUAGCCGGCCUGAGAGGGUGACCGGUCACACUGGGACUGAGAUACGGCCCAGACUCCUACGGGAGGCAGCAGGGGGGAAUAUUGCACAAUGGGCGCAAGCCUGAUGCAGCGACGCCGCGUGAGGGAUGACGGCCUUCGGGUUGUAAACCUCUUUCAGCUAUGACGAAGCGCAAGUGACGGUAGUAGCAGAAGAAGGACCGGCCAACUACGUGCCAGCAGCCGCCGUAA
This 478-nucleotide ribosomal RNA is filed under the name uncultured bacterium. RNAcentral's name for it is "partial 16S ribosomal RNA". It matches the Rfam family "Bacterial small subunit ribosomal RNA", at positions 28 to 523 of the family's 1533-position model. The record is from RNAcentral.